RNAcentral lists this antisense RNA (195 nucleotides) under Tatumella morbirosei. Its description in RNAcentral is "Yersinia sRNA 276". It matches the Rfam family "Yersinia sRNA 276". Lineage: Bacteria; Pseudomonadati; Pseudomonadota; Gammaproteobacteria; Enterobacterales; Erwiniaceae. The record is from Rfam by way of RNAcentral.
UACUGACAUCAGCGAUUCAUUCUGCGAACCGGCACCCACCGCCAGGUAGGCAUUCAUGCCCAGCUCUUUCAUCUGCUGCUCACCAAUCACCCGGGUGGUGAUGUUCUGGCUGUAGGCAUCGGCCAGCUGGCGGGCCUGAGAAGCCAGAUAAGCCGGAUUACAGAUAUUCGGUGGCAUAUUGCUGAGAUCUUUGGC